CACUUUCUCAAUCCAAUUUUCCAAGAAAUUCUACAUGGAGUAAUCACUCUCAACACUGCUUUUUUCACAAAAGGAUUGUAAAGUUACAAAAUUUCAACUCUUUUAGGGUCUGCUGUAAAUCUCAAGAUACCCAACAGAACAAAAAUAAUGGCAAGUUUCUUUUUUUGCUUAUAAUAGUAAUGAUUUUAGCUUACUAUUUUUUUUUUUUGUUUAUAAUAGUAAUGAUUUUAGUUUACAAUAAUAUUUAAAAAAAUUCUUGCCCUUUUUGUAUCAUAUGAUGGAUGGAUUAUAUAGCAAACAAUUGUUAAAAUGUUUUUUUAAAUAUAUAUAUUUUAAUUUAUUUUAUGUGUUGGCCUUUAUUGGUACUUGAAUAUAAUAAAUACUCAUGAGAUGGAGCUUGAUGAGUUCACAUAAUAUUUGGAUGGUAUAUCUCAACAGCCAACACUUAGGCCCUUUCAUGUCUUGAUUUUCAAGAAAAGUGUGUUAUUAUGUUUUGGCAAGAUAAGUAGAUACUAACCAAGUAAUUGUGCUUAAGUGGUUAAUAAGCUCCCUCUGGGACGAACCGUUUGGAAGAACCCGAGUUUGAUUCCUGGUAGGAACAAUUCUUGGUUAGACUUUACUUAUCUUGCAGUCAAACACUACAUCAUCUGGCCCUUCACCUGGGAACCGGAGGGUUAAAACCAAAAAAGAUAAGUAUAUAUGUUUGAGAAAUAGGUUAGAUUCUAAAUGCAUGUUUAGAUUGACAGUGACUUCGACAUAAUCACGGCUGAUAAAAGUUACACUUUGUAGUUUCAACAAAAUCAAUGGCGCAGUGAUUUCAUCAAGCUUACAUAGUGAUUAAAUAAAACAUCAA
This 853-nucleotide long non-coding RNA is filed under the name Trifolium pratense (red clover). Its description in RNAcentral is "long non-coding RNA (TPRA_LNC008622)". Lineage: Eukaryota; Viridiplantae; Streptophyta; Magnoliopsida; Fabales; Fabaceae. The record is from RNAcentral.